CCUACGGGAGGCAGCAGUGAGGAAUAUUGGUCAAUGGACGAGAGUCUGACCCAGCCAAGUAGCGUUAAGGAUGACUGCCCUAUGGGUUGUCAACUUCUUUUAUACAGGAAUAAAACGAGGCACGUGUGCCUUUUUGCAUGUACUUUAUGAAUAAGGAUCGGCUAACUCCGUGCCAGCAGCCGCGUUAAUACGGAGGAUCCGAGCGUUAUCCGGAUUUAUUGGGUUUAAAGGGAGCGUAGAUGGGUUGUUAAGUCAGUUGUGAAAGUUUGCGGCUCAACCGUAAAAUUGCAAUUGAUACUGGCAGUCUUGAGUACAGUUGAGGUAGGCGGAAUUCGUGGUGUAGCGGUGAAAUGCUUAGAUAUCACGAAGAACCCCGAUUGCGAAGGCAGCUUACUAAACUGUGACUGACAUUGAUGCUCGAAAGUGUGGGUAUCAAACAGGAUUAGAUACCCCUGUAGUC
This 460-nucleotide ribosomal RNA is filed under the name uncultured bacterium. Its description in RNAcentral is "partial 16S ribosomal RNA". It matches the Rfam family "Bacterial small subunit ribosomal RNA", at positions 338 to 795 of the family's 1533-position model. The record is from RNAcentral.